GACAACAUCCUGGUGCUGCCGAGU
This 24-nucleotide microRNA is filed under the name Dasypus novemcinctus (nine-banded armadillo). Its description in RNAcentral is "dno-miR-338-5p". Its record names the gene dno-miR-338-5p. The record is from miRBase by way of RNAcentral. Lineage: Eukaryota; Metazoa; Chordata; Mammalia; Cingulata; Dasypodidae.